Molecule: transfer RNA, 77 nt
Filed under: Sulfitobacter sp. R18_1
Lineage: Bacteria; Pseudomonadati; Pseudomonadota; Alphaproteobacteria; Rhodobacterales; Roseobacteraceae
Description: tRNA-Arg
Rfam family: tRNA
About the family: Transfer RNA (tRNA) molecules are approximately 80 nucleotides in length. Their secondary structure includes four short double-helical elements and three loops (D, anti-codon, and T loops).
Source: RNAcentral
ACCCGCCUAGCUCAGUUGGAUAGAGCGCCUCGCUACGAACGAGGAGGUCGGGGGUUCGAAUCCCUCGGUGGGUGCCA